AUACGGAGGAUGCGAGCGUUAUCCGGAUUUAUUGGGUUUAAAGGGUGCGCAGGCGGCCAUUUAAGUCAGCGGUUAAAUCGUGGGGCUCAACCCCAUUCUGCCGUUGAUACUGGGUGGCUUGAUUGCGGUCGAGGUUGGCGGAAUUCGUUGUGUAGCGGUGAAAUGCAUAGAUAUGACGAAGAACACCGAUUGCGUAGGCAGCUGACCAGAUCGCAAAUGACGCUCAUGCACGAAAGUGCGGGGAUCGAACAGGAUUAGAUACCCUGGUAGUCCGCACAGUAAACGAUGAAUACUUGUUUUCGGCGAUAUAAUGUCGGAGGCAAAGCGAAAGCGAUAAGUAUUCCACCUGGGGAGUACGCCGGCAACGGUGAAACUCAAAGGAAUUGGCGGGG
This 392-nucleotide ribosomal RNA is filed under the name uncultured bacterium. Its description in RNAcentral is "partial 16S ribosomal RNA". It matches the Rfam family "Bacterial small subunit ribosomal RNA", at positions 523 to 918 of the family's 1533-position model. The record is from RNAcentral.